GACGAACGCUGGCGGCGUGCCUAAUACAUGCAAGUUGAGCGCUUAAGGUUGGUACUUGUACUGACUGGAUGAGCAGCGAACGGGUGAGUAACUCGUGGGGAAUCCUCCUUUUAGCGGGGGACAACAUUUGGAAACGAAUGUUAAUACCGCAUAAAAACUUUAAACACAAGGUUUUAGAGUGAAAGAUGCAAUUUCAUCACUCUAAGACGAUCCCUCGUUGUGUUAGGUAUUUGGUGAGGAAAAGGGUCACCAAGGCGAUGAUAGAUAGCCGACCUGCCAGGCUGAUGGGCCACAUUAGGAAGGGGACAGGGCUCUAACUCCUACGGGAGGGGGCAGUAGCGGAUCGUCGGCAGUGGAGGAAAGUCUGAACGAGCAACGGCGUGUGGGUGAAGAAGCUUCACGGAUCGUAAAACUCUGUUGGUGGUGAAGAACGUUGGUGAGGGUGGAAAGCUCAUCAAGUGACGGUAACUAGCAAGAAAGAGACGGCUAACUACGUG
RNAcentral lists this ribosomal RNA (497 nucleotides) under uncultured bacterium. RNAcentral's name for it is "partial 16S ribosomal RNA". It matches the Rfam family "Bacterial small subunit ribosomal RNA", at positions 28 to 507 of the family's 1533-position model. The record is from RNAcentral.